GAAUCGCUUGAACCCAGGAGGUGGAGGCUGCAGUGGGCCAAGAUCGUGCCACUGCACUUCAGCCUGGGCGAGCAGAGUGAAACU
This 84-nucleotide microRNA precursor is filed under the name Colobus angolensis palliatus. Its description in RNAcentral is "miRNA (ENSCANG00000009306.1)". The record is from RNAcentral. Lineage: Eukaryota; Metazoa; Chordata; Mammalia; Primates; Cercopithecidae.